RNAcentral lists this ribosomal RNA (286 nucleotides) under Exiguobacterium sp. RIT594. RNAcentral's name for it is "partial 23S ribosomal RNA". It matches the Rfam family "Bacterial large subunit ribosomal RNA", at positions 1 to 283 of the family's 2925-position model. The record is from RNAcentral. RNAcentral also lists the same sequence under 1 other name. Lineage: Bacteria; Bacillati; Bacillota; Bacilli; Caryophanales.
GAUCAAGGUAUGAAGGGCGUACGGUGGAUGCCUUGGCACUAGGAGCCGAUGAAGGACGCGACGAACAGCGAUAUGCUUCGGGGAGCAGUAAGUAUGCUUUGAUCCGAGGAUUUCCGAAUGGGGGAACCCACCAUCCGUAAUGGGAUGGGACAUGUUACAUGAAUACAUAGUGUAGCGUGAGGCAGACCCGGGGAACUGAAACAUCUAAGUACCCGGAGGAAGAGAAAGCAAAUGCGAUUCCCUGAGUAGCGGCGAGCGAAACGGGAACAGCCCAAACCGGAGAGCA